UGGGGAAUAUUGCACAAUGGGCGGAAGCCUGAUGCAGCGACGCCGCGUGAGGGAUGACGGCCUUCGGGUUGUAAACCUCUUUCAGUAGGGACGAAGCGUAAGUGACGGUACCUGCAGAAGAAGCACCGGCUAACUACGUGCCAGCAGCCGCGGUAAUACGUAGGGUGCGAGCGUUGUCCGGAAUUACUGGGCGUAAAGAGCUCGUAGGCGGUUUGUCACGUCGUCUGUGAAAUCCUAGGGCUUAACCCUGGACGUGCAGGGGAUACGGGCUGACUUGAGUACUACAGGGGAGACUGGAAUUUCUGGUGUAGCGGUGGAAUGCACAGAUAUCAGGAAGAACACCGAUGGCGAAGGCAGGUCUCUGGGUAGUAACUGACGCUGAGGAGCGAAAGCAUGGGUAGCGAACAGG
RNAcentral lists this ribosomal RNA (409 nucleotides) under Verrucomicrobiota bacterium. Its description in RNAcentral is "Verrucomicrobia bacterium partial 16S ribosomal RNA". It matches the Rfam family "Bacterial small subunit ribosomal RNA", at positions 355 to 776 of the family's 1533-position model. Lineage: Bacteria; Pseudomonadati; Verrucomicrobiota. The record is from RNAcentral.